RNAcentral lists this ribosomal RNA (1348 nucleotides) under uncultured bacterium. Its description in RNAcentral is "bacterial SSU rRNA". It matches the Rfam family "Bacterial small subunit ribosomal RNA", at positions 28 to 1381 of the family's 1533-position model. The record is from RNAcentral.
GACGAACGCUGGCGGCGUGCUUAACACAUGCAAGUCGAACGAUGAAGCCUAACUUGCUAGGUGGAUUAGUGGCGAACGGGUGAGUAAUACGUGAGUAACCUACCUUUAACUCUGGGAUAAGCCUGGGAAACUGGGUCUAAUACCGGACGACGACCAAUCUCCGCAUGGGGUGUUGGUGGAAAGCGUUAUGUAGUGGUUAUAGAUGGGCUCACGGCCUAUCAGCUUGUUGGUGAGGUAACGGCUCACCAAGGCGACGACGGGUAGCCGGCCUGAGAGGGUGACCGGCCACACUGGGACUGAGACACGGCCCAGACUCCUACGGGAGGCAGCAGUGGGGAAUAUUGCACAAUGGGCGCAAGCCUGAUGCAGCGACGCCGCGUGAGGGAUGACGGCCUUCGGGUUGUAAACCUCUGUUAGCAGGGAAGAAGAGAAAUUGACGGUACCUGCAGAGAAAGCGCCGGCUAACUACGUGCCAGCAGCCGCGGUAAUACGUAGGGCGCGAGCGUUGUCCGGAAUUAUUGGGCGUAAAGAGCUUGUAGGCGGUUUGUCGCGUCUGCUGUGAAGGCCGGGGCUUAACCCCGUGUAUUGCAGUGGGUACGGGCAGACUAGAGUGCAGUAGGGGAGACUGGAAUUCCUGGUGUAGCGGUGGAAUGCGCAGAUAUCAGGAGGAACACCGAUGGCGAAGGCAGGUCUCUGGGCUGUAACUGACGCUGAGAAGCGAAAGCAUGGGGAGCGAACAGGAUUAGAUACCCUGGUAGUCCAUGCCGUAAACGUUGGGCACUAGGUGUGGGGGACAUUCCACGUUUUCCGCGCCGUAGCUAACGCAUUAAGUGCCCCGCCUGGGGAGUACGGCCGCAAGGCUAAAACUCAAGGAAAUUGACGGGGGCCCGCACAAGCGGCGGAGCAUGCGGAUUAAUUCGAUGCAACGCGAAGAACCUUACCAAGGCUUGACAUAUACUGGACCGCAUCAGAGAUGGUGUUUCCCUUCGGGGCUGGUAUACAGGUGGUGCAUGGUUGUCGUCAGCUCGUGUCGUGAGAUGUUGGGUUAAGUCCCGCAACGAGCGCAACCCUCGUUCUAUGUUGCCAGCACGUUAUGGUGGGGACUCAUAGGAGACUGCCGGGGUCAACUCGGAGGAAGGUGGGGAUGACGUCAAAUCAUCAUGCCCCUUAUGUCUUGGGCUUCACGCAUGCUACAAUGGCCGGUACAGAGGGUUGCGAUACUGUGAGGUGGAGCUAAUCCCUAAAAGCCGGUCUCAGUUCGGAUUGGGGUCUGCAACUCGACCCCAUGAAGUCGGAGUCGCUAGUAAUCGCAGAUCAGCAACGCUGCGGUGAAUACGUUCCCGGGCCU